RNAcentral lists this long non-coding RNA (4438 nucleotides) under Homo sapiens (human). Its description in RNAcentral is "non-protein coding LINC01579:18". The record is from RNAcentral. Lineage: Eukaryota; Metazoa; Chordata; Mammalia; Primates; Hominidae.
GGAGUCACGCGAAGUCGGAAGUACCAGCUGCGGGAAGGAGCUGCCCACUGUGCGUCUUCUCAACUUGUUGGGACAACCUUCCUGCGGAAAGGAGAGACAACCUUCCUGCAGAAAGGAGCUACCUGCUUCAGGUCUACUGAGAGCUGUUCUGCCACUCAAUAAAGCUCUUCUCCAUCUUGCUAAGCCUCCAUUUGUCCGCAAUACCUCAUCUCCCUGGACGCAGGACAAGAACUCAGGACCCGCCUGGAGGUGCCCACAGCAGAAUCCACAUGCCGUCCAUCUGGUCCAGCCUCACGCAGAGCCACAACUGUGCUGGCGCCUGGAGCUGCCAGCCCCACUGCAGCAGCCGGACUGACAUUCAGACGUGGAGCAAGUUGGACUGCAUAGGGACCCACCAGUGAGAUGGACGCUGUCUGUAAACGAUGACUUCUAGGAAGAAAAGAAAAAAUUCUGAUUAAACAGCCAUAUUCAUGCUGGAAGUCUACACUUUGAAUUUCUUGCACUCCAAGAUUCUAACUGUUGACCAGUUAUCAGCUGACAUUCUAUAUAUGUUUGAUGAGUAGCUGAAUGGCUGAAAAGAUUAGUGCAAACUAAAGAAUUACUAAAGUCCUGAAUGUGAUGUUUGGUUAUGUCUAUAAUUUAUAGAAUUUUCCCUAUUAUUUUAAAUGCUAACAUUUCAUGGAAGUAUAUUUGAAUAUAAAAGAUUAUAAAAUUACUAAUCCAGCAUUUUAAAAAUCCCCUGCUGAAUUUCUUAGAAGCAGAUAUAAAUAAUAUAUUCUCUAGGUAAUUUCAUGUAUUUAUUUUUUUCUUUCAUGUUCUAAUUUUGUUGAGACAAAAGGAGGGCUUUUUCUUUCAACCAAAAUAAUCAGAAAUCUUAUCAGUUUAGUAAUUAGGGAUUGAAAUACAAAGCUAGUGAAGUAAGGCUACAUUGCAAAGUCUGAUAGUGUACAGUAGUUUAAUGUUUAUUUCUCUGGCAUCAUGUCCUCUCUGUAAGAGAAUGUGUUGGAAGGUAAGCACAAAUAGUUUUUUGCUUGACAUGCUGUAUUUCGUCAUGCUGCUAAUUAGCACAAACACUUACUCCAAGAAGUGAAAUCAUUACUUUCUCUGGGAGUAACUGAGAGGUUCUUUGUAGUGGAGAAAAAGCCCAGGUGUCCAGCUUGAAAUAGCAAUUACCACCCAGGUGUCUGUCGUAGUAACAACAAAAUACUUUAGCUAAAAAUCCAAGAAGAAGAAUGGAACUGCUUCAUUCUUUCUAUGUUGGAUGGCAUUCACGAAUAUGUAUUAGUAAAUAAAAUAAUUAUCUCUUGCUGUGUAAAAAACUACUUCAAAAUUUAGCAGCUUAAAACAGCAAGCAUUUAUUAUCUCACAUGGUUUCUGAGAGUCAGAAAUCUGGGAGCAGCUGAGCUGGGUGGCUCUAGCUCUGGACGUCUUGUGAGGUUUUACUCCAGCCGUUGCCUGGACAGUCACCUGAAGCUUAGCUGGGGCUGGAGGGUCUGCUUGCAAGCUCCCUCCUCUGGCUGUUGGCAGAAGGCCUCAGUUUCUCACUAUGUGGGCCUCUCCGUAGGACUGCUUGCAACAAGGCAGCUGGUUUCUCUCAGGGUGAAUUAUGAGAGAGAAAGAGAUAAAAAUUGAACGUCUUUUAUAGCAUAAUACCAUCCCUUCUACUAUAUCCUGUUGGUCACAUUGACCAACUCUGGCACAAUGCAGGAAGGAACUACAAAGAGUGUGAAUUCAGGAGGUGGAGACUAUUGGGGGCCAUCUUGGAAGCUGAUAAUCACCAGGUACUAAACUUGUUCCAGGAAGUACCCCAGGCAUAGAUAAUACAUGUAUGAAUAGGACAAUUUAUUUAUUCCUUUUAUUAGUCUUGUGAUCAAUAGAACAUGUAUUUAAUAUCUACUAUAUGCCAGCAUCUGUGUUACACAAAAGGUAUUCUAAAGUAAAUAAGACAUGAGCUUAUCCUUAUAUUCUGGCGGGAGAGAUAAAUAUGUCAGUAAAUAGACAAUGGUGUUCCACUCUAACAUAAAAGAGAUUACACUAAGUAUUGUAGGGGCAUUUUGGAGAGAGGUUGCGUAGAGAAUGUGCAAAGUUGAGCAAUUGCUCCGAAGUGCAUUUGAGUAGGAUAGACAGAGCGAUUAGCGUUGAGAGCUACAGCCACUCAGUAUUUUAGAAGAAUGAAAUAGCAUGCAUAUAGAUUUACUUUUGCAAAUACAGGUGCAACAGUGUCUCUUGCCCUAUGUGCUCUUCUUCAACGUGACCUGGACAUUUUCCCAUCUAGAAUUGGGAUCUAUUUCUCUGUGCUCUUAAAUCUGAGGGUCUUGGGAACUGCCUUCACUAAUAGACUAUGGUAGAAGUGUUGCCAUGCCUUUUUCUGUUAUAGCCUUUAGCUAGCUGCGCAGUUUCUACUGCCUGCCUCUUGGAAUCUAGCUUCCGUGUAAAAAGUGAGACUUCUUUUAGAUACCCUUGCUGCAAGAAGGUAAGCCAAGUGAAGAAAGCCUGGAGGAUGAGAAGCCACAUGAAGAGAGAGAGAGGUCAAGAAGCCCUAAGGCACCAGAUGUGAGUAAAGAAGCUAUUUUGAAGAAGAUUCUUCCACCCCAGCUGAUGCAAUAUUGAUCAGAAACGACCACCCUUUGGAGCCGUUUCUACAUUCCUUACCCCAAAAAAUCAUUAGCAAAAUAAAAAUGAUUGCUUUUAGCUAUUAAAUUUUGGGGUAGCCAGUUGUCCUGCAAGAGAUAACUGAAAUAAUGAGCAUGUCACAUUACAUAAUUAGUAAACCAUAUAAUGGAGCUAGCCUAAAUUACAGACUGGGGCAGGCCAGCGUGAAGCUGGCACAAAAUUCAAUGAAAAACAAAACAUACUUUCUGUGUUCUGCCAAAUGCUGUUAGGAAAGAGGUGGACACACUCAACUCUUCUGAAUGGCAGAGUGGCAUAAUGAGAUUCGUGAUUAGAGAUGAUCAUACUGGGAGAAAUUCAGAAGAUAAGUGACACGGUGGAGACAUUUGAGGAAAGCGGCACCAUUCUUCUUUUAUUAUUAUUAUACUUUAAGUUCUGGAAUACACGUGCAGAACAUGCAGGCUUGUUAGAUAGGUAUACAUGUGCCAUAGUGGUUUGCUGUACCCAUCAACCCAUCAUCUAGGUUUUAAGCCCCACAUGCAUUAGGUAUUUGUCCUAAUGCUCUCCCUCCGCUUGGCCCCAGCGUGUGAUGUUCCCCUCCCUGUGUCCAUGUGUUCUCAUUGUUCAACUCCCACUUAUGAGUGAACAUUCAGAUGCAGCACCGUUCUUAUACGUGCUCUUGAAAUUGACCAUACAAGGAUGAUGAAGGCAGACAAUGGAAGAGUCACAGCAUAGAGAGGAGCAACACACUUAGAAAAAAUUAGUAAUCAGAAUCACGGAGGUUUGAUUAGGAGAAAGGAGUGAGAGAACAAUUGUUGCAGAUGACUCUACAAUGCUUUGCAAUCGUCUAAGAAAGCAAACACAGGAAAAGGAGUAGCUAUAGUGGGGCAAAGGUGGCUAAUGAGUCGGUUUCAAAUGUGUUGAAUUUGAGGUGCCUAUGGGAUUUUUAAUGACUGCAGUCAAGUAUUGGAAAAGCGAUUGUACUAUGGUUUUACUCUGCCAUCAUUUUCCCCUCUCUCACACUUCCUGAUUAUUUUUAAUAGAGGGCAGCAAUCCAAGAGAUGUUGGUUGCUACUGAGUUCCCACUAAUAGCUUCAUACAGAUUCUCACAUUGUAAUGGUCCUAACAUCCCAACAACCCACUUUUCCCAUUUGGUAUUUUUUUUUUGAUAUCUAAUUACAGGCAUAAGAUCUCAGUAAUGACUGGGUUACAUUUUCUGCUAGACAAAUUAUGGACAUAAUUAUAGGCACAUGUUCAGUAUAAUAUCGAAACAUCUGAUGCUUCUAUAGAGAAGAUAAUUGUCAAUCUUUGUAGUGUAAUUAAGUCUAAAUGGGAAUCCUCAUCAUUUUCCAAAUGAGCAAACAGUGAGCUAGUCUUGAUUGGCUGUGUCAUGGCAGCUAGUGAAAUGGAUUUGCUGUGUAGGUUAAUUAGUCAUGUAUGAAUGUCACAACCCUCAGAAAACUCGACAUUAGCUCUAAGUAUUAGAGUUAAUUAGCAGUACAUUGUUGCAACUCUCCAUGAUAUUUACCUGGCUUAUCUUUGGAAAUCUAGCCUUUCAUUUUUUUUUCCUGAAUCUUUCUUCUCAUAGUGAUUCAGAGCAUUUAAAUUUUCUACCCAUGAAUUCCAAUAAACAUGAGAGAGCACAGGAGCAAGGAUUUACAGUGAAACAGACCUGGGUUCAAAUCCCUUUCAAUUUCAUUCUUACAGUGAACAUUUUGACUAUUUACUGUUAAUAUCUCUCAGUUUCAGUAGUUUAUCCAUAAAUACCUGUUUAAUCUUAUUUUUAAUGCUUUUUUAAAUAAACUUGAGGCAUUCAUAAGUCUUUUCC